UAGUCCACGCCGUAAACGAUGAAUACUAGGUGUCGGGGGUCGAACCUCGGUGCCGCAGCUAACGCAUUAAGUAUUCCACCUGGGGAGUACGAUCGCAAGAUUGAAACUCAAAGGAAUUGACGGGGGCCCGCACAAGCGGUGGAGCAUGUGGUUUAAUUCGAAGCAACGCGAAGAACCUUACCAAAUCUUGACAUCCCAUUGACCACUAUUUAAUCAUAGUUUCUCUUCGGAGCAAUGGUGACAGGUGGUGCAUGGUUGUCGUCAGCUCGUGUCGUGAGAUGUUGGGUUAAGUCCCGCAACGAGCGCAACCCUUAUUUUAGUAGCCAGCACGUAAUGGUGGGGACUCUAGAGAGACUGCCGGGGACAACUCGGAGGAAGGUGGGGAUGACGUCAAAUCAUCAUGCCCCUUAUGAUUUGGGCUACACACGUGCUACAAUGGUCAGUACAGAGGGUUGCGAAGCCGCGAGGUGGAGCUAAUCUCAGAAAACUGUUCGUAGUCCGGAUUGCACU
This 510-nucleotide ribosomal RNA is filed under the name uncultured bacterium. RNAcentral's name for it is "bacterial SSU rRNA". It matches the Rfam family "Bacterial small subunit ribosomal RNA", at positions 791 to 1304 of the family's 1533-position model. The record is from RNAcentral.